Molecule: ribosomal RNA, 600 nt
Filed under: Triticum aestivum (bread wheat)
Lineage: Eukaryota; Viridiplantae; Streptophyta; Magnoliopsida; Poales; Poaceae
Description: partial small subunit ribosomal RNA
Source: RNAcentral
AUGCAAGGCCUCACGGCAUCUUGCAAGAUCGUGCUCGUGAUGUUUCUGCUCGGCUUAGGCUUGGCAGGAGCCACCGCCGACAGCCGUAGGAGGCACAUCUCCAGCAGCCCUGACGAGCCGUGCAAGAAGAUGACGCUCUACCUCCACGACAUCCUCUACAACGGUGUCAACAACAGUGCCAACGCGACGGCGGCGCCGGCGACCAAGCCGACGGACCUGAGCACAACGCACUGGAGCAACGGCACCUUCUUCGGCAUGCUGGUGGUGUUCGACGACCCGGUGACGGAGGGGACGGCGCUGCCCAUCGGGCAGGAGGAGCCGGCGGCGCGCGCGCAGGGGUUCUACUUCUACGACAAGAAGGAGUCGUACAGCGGGUGGUUCUCCUUCUCGCUCGUGUUCAACUCAAAGGCAUGCAGGGGCACCCUCAACCUCAUGGGCGCCGAUCCCAUGGACGCGGAGACGCGUGACUUUUCCGUCGUCGGGGGCACCGGCGACUUCUUCAUGGCGCGCGGCGUCGCGACGAUCCACACCGACGCCACCGAAGGCUACUUCUACUUCCGCCUCAAGAUGGACAUCAAGCUCUACGAGUGCUACGUCUAA